This 497-nucleotide ribosomal RNA is filed under the name uncultured bacterium. Its description in RNAcentral is "partial 16S ribosomal RNA". It matches the Rfam family "Bacterial small subunit ribosomal RNA", at positions 28 to 507 of the family's 1533-position model. The record is from RNAcentral.
GAUGAACGCUGGCGGCGUGCCUAAUACAUGCAAGUCGAGCGAACGGACGAGAAGCUUGCUUCUCUGAUGUUAGCGGCGGACGGGUGAGUAACACGUGGAUAACCUACCUAUAAGACUGGGAUAACUUCGGGAAACCGGAGCUAAUACCGGAUGAUAUUUUGAACCGCAUGGUUCAAAAGUGAAAGAAGGUCUUGCUGUCACUUAUAGAUGGAUCCGCGCUGCAUUAGCUAGUUGGUAAGGUAACGGCUUACCAAGGCAACGAUGCAUAGCCGACCUGAGAGGGGGAUGGGCCACAGUGGGUCUGAGACACGGUACACACGCCUGGGGGAGGCGGGAGUGGGGAUUCUUCCGGAAUGGGCGAAAGCCUGACGGGGCAGCGCCGCGUGAGUGAUGAAGGCCUUCGGAUCGUAAAACGCUGUUAUUAGGGAAGAACAUAUGUGUAGGUAUCUGUGCGCAGAGGGAGGGUACCUAAUCAGAAAGCCACGGCUAACUACGUG